Long non-coding RNA from Rhagoletis zephyria (snowberry fruit fly), 619 nucleotides. RefSeq lists it as uncharacterized. The record is from RefSeq and is a predicted model, not a curated record. Lineage: Eukaryota; Metazoa; Arthropoda; Insecta; Diptera; Tephritidae.
ACAAGUUUUAUAAACUAAAGUGUGCAAUUAAAAAUCAAAGUCACGUGCUUUGUAUUUGGAGGCAAAUUUUCUUGGGAUUUUAAAUCGACCAACAGGCUUUGGUGUAAAUAAAUAACAAAAGUAAAAGAAAUGUGCAGCUAGAUAAACCGGUUAGCAGUUGUUGUGGAUUUUUUUUUUUGUUUUGGUUUUAUUACCUGAACAGCAGCCAAACAAAAAAACAGCAAAUGAGUAAAAAAUAGGAAGCAGUGUCUAAAAUUAUAAAUGCGGCCUAAAACCGGUUGUUAAUCGCCUGCUGUGGACAGGUUUGGAAGAAAUUAACAUAUGAGGAAUGGAGAAAAGAUUGACUGAAAAUAAGCGAGGAGGUGAAAAAACCAUAAACCAACGUUAAAAAAAAAAAAAAAAAAUUGUGUGGGUACUACAAUCUGGUAUUCUGGUGAUUAUUAAAUUGUGCUAUUUGGCGUGUGAAAAGGUAAAGCAAUAUAAGUGAAUAUAGUAAACUCAAAUACUUUUAUAACUAGCAGCAGUAAGAUAUCUUGCAACUUGCCGGCUGUAGAAACAAUUUUACGUCGUUCAACUGUCACUUUGACAACUGCAGCACGUACAACUUUAGAUGCAACAA